This 338-nucleotide ribosomal RNA is filed under the name Megasphaera micronuciformis. RNAcentral's name for it is "bacterial SSU rRNA". It matches the Rfam family "Bacterial small subunit ribosomal RNA", at positions 1 to 313 of the family's 1533-position model. Lineage: Bacteria; Bacillati; Bacillota; Negativicutes; Veillonellales; Veillonellaceae. The record is from RNAcentral.
AUCAUGGAGAGUUUGAUCCUGGCUCAGGACGAACGCUGGCGGCGUGCUUAACACAUGCAAGUCGAACGAGAGCGUAGAGAAAGCUUGCUUUUUCUACAAUCUAGUGGCAAACGGGUGAGUAACGCGUAAACAACCUGCCCUACGGAUGGGGACAACAGCUGGAAACGGCUGCUAAUACCGAAUACGUUCCGAAAGUCGCAUGACUGUCGGAAGAAAGGAUGGCCUCUAUUUAUAAGCUAUCGCCGGAGGAGGGGUUUGCGUCUGAUUAGCUAGUUGGAGGGGUAACGGCCCACCAAGGCGACGAGCAGUAGCCGGUCUGAGAGGAUGAACGGCCACAU